AAGUCGUAACAAGGUUUCCGUAGGUGAACCUGCGGAAGGAUCAUUACUAUAAGGCAUGAAUUUUUAGUUAGAGUGCUUCUCGGCUAUAAUUCAAACCUUUACUCUACCUUGAUUUUUUGCGUAUUCUGUUUCCUUGGUAGGCUUGCCUGCCAAUUGGACAAAAUCAUAACCCUUUUAAUAUUUAAUCAGCGUCUGAAUAAUUUUAAUAAUUACAACUUUCAACAACGGAUCUCUUGGUUCUG
Molecule: unclassified non-coding RNA, 242 nt
Filed under: Phaeosphaeria halima
Lineage: Eukaryota; Fungi; Ascomycota; Dothideomycetes; Pleosporales; Phaeosphaeriaceae
Description: partial internal transcribed spacer region
Rfam family: Eukaryotic small subunit ribosomal RNA (bases 1-46)
Source: RNAcentral